This 497-nucleotide ribosomal RNA is filed under the name uncultured bacterium. RNAcentral's name for it is "partial 16S ribosomal RNA". It matches the Rfam family "Bacterial small subunit ribosomal RNA", at positions 28 to 507 of the family's 1533-position model. The record is from RNAcentral.
GAUGAACGCUGGCGGCGUGCCUAAUACAUGCAAGUCGAGCGAACGGACGAGACGCUUGCUUUUCUGAUGUUAGCCGCGGACGUGUGAGUCACACGUGUAUACCCUCCCUAUAAUACUGGUAUCACUUCGGGAAUCCGGAGCUUAUCCCGUAUAAUAUUUUGCACCGCAUGGUUCAAAAGUGAAAGUCGGUCUUUCUGUCUCUUCUCGCUGCAUCCGCGCUGCAUUAGCUAGUUGGUAAGGUAACGGCUUACCAAGGCAACGAUGCAUAGCCGAGCUGAGAGGGUGAUCGGCCACACUGGAACUGAGACACGGUCAAGACUCCUAAGGGAGGCAGCAGUAGGGAAUCUUCCGCAAUGGGCGAAAGCCUGACGGAGCAACGCCGCGUGAGUGAUGAAGGUCUUCGGAUCGUAAAAAUCUGUUAUUAGGGAAGAACAGAUGUGUAAGUAACUGUGCACAGCGUGACGGUACCUAAUCAGAAAGCAACGGCUAACUACGUG